RNAcentral lists this ribosomal RNA (451 nucleotides) under Betaproteobacteria bacterium. Its description in RNAcentral is "bacterial SSU rRNA". It matches the Rfam family "Bacterial small subunit ribosomal RNA", at positions 59 to 502 of the family's 1533-position model. Lineage: Bacteria; Pseudomonadati; Pseudomonadota; Betaproteobacteria. The record is from RNAcentral.
CAGUCGAACGGCAGCGGGGGCUUCGGCCUGCCGGCGAGUGGCGAACGGGUGAGUAAUGCAUCGGAACGUGCCCAUGUCGUGGGGGAUAACGUAGCGAAAGCUACGCUAAUACCGCAUACGCCCUGAGGGGGAAAGCGGGGGAUUCUUCGGAACCUCGCGCGAUUGGAGCGGCCGAUGUCGGAUUAGCUAGUAGGUGAGGUAAAGGCUCACCUAGGCGACGAUCCGUAGCGGGUCUGAGAGGAUGAUCCGCCACACUGGGACUGAGACACGGCCCAGACUCCUACGGGAGGCAGCAGUGGGGAAUUUUGGACAAUGGGCGCAAGCCUGAUCCAGCCAUGCCGCGUGAGUGAAGAAGGCCUUCGGGUUGUAAAGCUCUUUCGGCCGGGAAGAAAUCGUGGUCUCUAACAUAGGCCAUGGAUGACGGUACCGGACUAAGAAGCACCGGCUAACU